This is a long non-coding RNA of Falco peregrinus (peregrine falcon), 3305 nucleotides long. RefSeq lists it as uncharacterized. Lineage: Eukaryota; Metazoa; Chordata; Aves; Falconiformes; Falconidae. The record is from RefSeq and is a predicted model, not a curated record. The transcript is spliced from 9 exons.
AUGACCACAACUGACAUAUAACAUGCAGUUUUACAAAAGGGUUGAUUACAAAAUAUUAGAAUAGCCCAGUAUAAACAGCUGCCACGAUAUGUUUUGCAGGUGUAAAGGGAUGGAAGAAUCAUGGUCCCUUCACUCAUACGCUGUGUAAUCUUGAUGUAUAAAUGUAGCCUUAGCAUAUGUGCAUCUUUUCCUUAUCACCACUCGCUUAUACCAUUGAUAAAAAGCUGCAUCUGUCAUAGAAGUACUGAGCAAAAUAGCGUCUGUCCUGUGAGUCAAACCCUGAGGCCAGAACUGACUGAAUCGCAACAGAUGUUUCUCUAACUGCCAGCGUACCUGUAGGAAGCCUGACCUUGCUGGGCUUUUGAGAAGCAUUUCUGACUAAUGUAAAACUGGCUGCCAGAGUGCCUGCCAGCCUGCUACAGAACUAAGAUUUUGGAUUUACUGCUGAGUUCAGCAUCAUGCAAAUUGGCUCAGAGAAGGUUUUUCUGUGUUUUUUCAAUGAAGCUCCAUUUAGAAAAGGUGAUUCUGUGGUGAAAGGCUAGAGGAACGCAAGAGCACCGUGCAAAGUCUUCUCCGGUUCAACUCAUUGGGCCGUGAAGUGUUGAGGAUCUUGGAAAAACGGGCCAUGUGGACCAAAAAGGACAAUGUUCAAAGACUCUAGAAGAUUUGGGAGCCAUAGUUCAGCCUUCGCUUAAAGGAAACAAAAGACACAUGAAAAGAGUAGCCUACCAUGGUAGACAGAAGCCUCGUAAGAAAAACAGAAACCGUCUGCUGGCUAGUGGCUCACUGAAAGGAAAGGAACAUUCCUUCUCACUGCAAGACUAUAGGAGAGAAGCGACUAACAGAGUAACAGUCAUUCUCACUGCACCAGAGCUGCAAACCUCCCACUGGAUGCAACGUGGCUGAGAGGUAUGUGAGAGCUAAGGGGUGUUGUCAAGGCACAUUAACCAACCCAUUUCUGUAUUUCUGUCAUCAUAUCAAGGUAUCUUUGGCUCACACUUUUGGGGAAGAUUUAGUGUUUCAAUUCCUGGGUCUGGAAAAUCUUGGUAACAUCCGUAUUUUGACAGCUGCCUAUUAAGAACAGUUACAAUUCACCCCCUAGUGUUUUUCAAAUACGAAGGCGCAUUUUGUGGAAAGAUAGUCUACCAAUGCAACAGCUUUGUUUUCUAAUGGGUAGUAACGCUACCAAAGAUUAAUGAUAACAUCUAGUUGUUUGGUUGGUGUCUUACACAACCCAAACUGUGGGGAGGGGUUUAAAACAAACAACAAAAAAAAAUGAAAAUAGAGGAUCCAUUUUGGGUUUAGUCCAUAACGUGGGGAAAUUGCACACAACACUUACAAAAGGCAAAACUUCAUCUCUGUUGUCCUUGGAUUCAGAAGAGUUAGAUCCAGAGGAGGCACUGGGGAGAACCAGCUCGUUCUGCAUUGCUGUCCAUCCACUGUGUAACAGCCUAUGGAUGCAUCCCACAGAGCAGGUAAACUCAGAGGGUUUCUCUAAUCGACUCAAUCUGCGAAACGGCAUCUGCCCUGUGACAAAGGUGUGAAACUACUAAGUUCAGAACCUUAAAAGUGGUUUUGAAAUAAAGAGGAUGAAUAAGGGAGAACAUAACAGGAAGUUAUUUCUGCAAUUCAUGUUUAUGUGUGACAAAGCGAACACAAGAGAACCGGUAAAAUAUUAGUGGAAAGUAGGUAGUAGGAGCUGCUGUACCAGGUGCGUACUGUAAGUAUUUAAUUUCUUUGCAAAUAUUAGCUGUUUGCUUUUUUUUGUUUAGUUCGACAUUAUCCCUGAUAUGUGCUUAAUCCACAGUCCAAAGAGUCAAUGGAAAGCUUUACAGUGGUUUAACUGCUGGUCAAGCAUCAUAUGCAUUUUAAUUAAAUUCAAAUGUUAAAACUCAGCUGUUGAAGCCAGACUAGGUCUUUCUUCUGUUUUGGUAAUAACUUUAGGGGAUAAUAAUUGAGCAAGUUGUUCAUUUGCAGACAUUCCCCCUUACCUCCAGCAGUUCAAAAGCAUCCAGUUUACUAAGGCUUCUAUAUAAUCUGAGAAAUUACAGAAUAAUUGACAAGAAAAUGUCCCAAAGAACACCAGAAAAUAGCAACGGAGUGAUUACUUGAGUGACAUGGAAACACAUAUUUGAAAUCUACCUUAAAUUCUAUAAAGAACAGGCAAUUUAAAUUCAGUGGAAAAGGUUAUACAGGACUGAGAGUUAUGCUAGCCACUGUUUUACUGCAUUGGUUUUACUGCAUUGAAGCUGCAUAGAUGUGGAUUAUUUAUUCAUUAAAUAAAUCUUGUGUUCCUUCAACGUAAUACACAUUUAGUUCAGAACUGGUGCAGAGAAGCGUGGAGUUUCUGCAGCGCAGUCGGUGCAAAUCAAAGCUGCUCACUCUUUGAGCUUUUCCAUAGCUAGCACUGAGCUGGGAGAAGCCGUGAACUGAAACACAGAUGUGGUCAAUCAGGCACCUGUGUGUGUGGGCAUGCUUUUCUGUGCCCAUAUUGGAGAUAUUUUGCCAGCAGAGAAGGGACGGAGAGUUGAGGGAAAGGAGAUCUGUAUUUAAGGAAAAAAAAAAUAUAUCUUUCUUGAGGUUGCACAUCCACCUGACUGGCAAUAAUGCCUAACUUUUCUUGUUGAAAGAUUUUUUUAUUUUUUUUUUUACUGAAAAUGACAUAGUUCUGGCAGAGUACAUAGAAAAAGUUUUUGAGACAGCUGUCUAAGAGGCAUGUGGAAUCUGAAUUUCCCAAUUGCUUGUAGUUACUAAAAAGCGCAGCAACGCUGCUGGUACGGUACACCAAUUCAAACUGUGCAGAUGUACCACAUAUUGCAGUAGCUCCCAGCCUGAGGUGUUCGUUGCUAAAUUUGAUGUCCAAAUGACUGUAGCAACGGACAAUGGAAGUGCUUUAGCAGAGAUAAAAAAGUGCAUUCCCCCUUCUUUCCAGCUGUUUACUAAAAAUUCUGAAAAUGUCGAUCCUAGAGAAGAAACAUAGCUCUAUACCAUAAACAUACAAUGUAUUUGUUUAGCGUUUGAACCUUAAAUUCUUUAAGAACGUUGCGCAAACAGUGGGUUCUCCCCCCUUACCUCGCACCAGUCCUGUUUAGCGAGGGCUUGAUCAGACCUAAACUGUUCGUCGCUGUGCCAGUGUUGUAGGGUUCAGUGCUUAACGGGAGUGUUGGGUUAUAUGCUAAAGAAGCAUAUGGCUUUGCAAAUCAGGGAGGAAUUUAUUUAGUAGUAGAACUUUAUUUAAAGAUUGCUCAUUAAUUCGUUAAAUCAGCUUUUGGUUACAAGUAUUUGCUUAAGUUUAUGCAACAUAA